Molecule: ribosomal RNA, 253 nt
Filed under: uncultured bacterium
Lineage: Bacteria
Description: partial 16S ribosomal RNA
Rfam family: Bacterial small subunit ribosomal RNA
Source: RNAcentral
UCCGAAGGGGGCUAGCGUUGUUCGGAUUUACUGGGCGUAAAGCGCGUGUAGGCGGGUCGUUAAGUUGGGGGUGAAAUCCCGGAGCUCAACUCCGGAACUGCCUCCAAAACUGGCGACCUGGAGCAGAGGAGAGGAGAGCGGAAUUCCGAGUGUAGAGGUGAAAUUCGUAGAUAUUCGGAGGAACACCAGUGGCGAAGGCGGCUCGCUGGACUCUUGCUGACGCUGAGACGCGAAAGCGUGGGGAGCAAACAGG